Acanthosepion pharaonis is the source of this 94-nucleotide non-coding RNA. Lineage: Eukaryota; Metazoa; Mollusca; Cephalopoda; Sepiida; Sepiidae. The record is from the annotation of a GenBank genome assembly.
AUUGAAACACCAGCUUCCAUAUGAUCACCAAAGUUAAGCAACAUUAAGCCUGGUAAAUACAUAGAUGGGUGACCACUUGGGAAUACCAGUUGCU